CUGCCCUGGAGUUGGGUCUGGAUCACAUCUCCCUGAUCCUCUCCAACAGAGGCUUAAGACGAAGCAAAAAGAACUGGAGGCCAAGAUGUUGGCCCAGAAGGCUGAGGAAAAGGAGAACCAUUGUCCCACAAUGCUCCGGCCCCUUUCACAUCGCACAGUCACAGUGGCAAAGCCCCUGAAAAAGGCUGUGGUGAUGCCCCUACAGCUAAUUCAGGAGCAGGCAGCAUCCCCAAAUGCCGAGAUCCAUAUCCUGAAGAAUAAAGGCCGGAAGAGAAAGGUGAAAGUAGCUGGGGGCUUAGGCUACACCUGGAGCCUAGAAGUAAGGGGGAGUAGGCUGUAGGGGGAGGAGCGUUGGCCUUGGGGUUAAACGAACUGGGUGAUGGCCGCCAGCUAUUAACAGACCUCAACUUGCUUACUCCUGGAAUGUGGUGAUGGAUGGUUCCUUGCAGGGCAUUUAGGGUGGAAGGCAGUGAUGUGGAUGUACCUCGCAGAGCGGAUGUUCCACUGUGUAGCCUGGCUUCUGCCCUCUACAAGCUUAAGACGGAAAACUUAGGGAACUAUGAUCUAAGCAGUCAAGCAUGAAACCACACACACGCACACACCCAGAAUCGAACACCACUAGAACUACCCAAAAAGUUUCUCCCAUGUACUUUUGAAAGACAGUUUAUUCUUUCCCUUUUAGAGAUGAGGGACCAGAUUUAAGAGCUUAUUUUGUGCUUUACAUUCAUUAACUCACUUGAUCUCCACAGCAACUCCGUGAGAAAGGUGCUGAUAUUAACACUAGGUACUAAGUAGUACCUCUCUUUCACUAGUCGCAUAAUGAGAAUUAACCCAGAGAGUGACCUGAGGGCGGGAUUUUGGACACACUUGACAGGAGAGGAAGAGGCUGGAGCGCAGGAGGUAGCUGGUGCUGGGCUUCUAGUCUUGGCAGAGGAGCCCAAAGCACUUGGCUGCCCUGCGUGUCACUCAUCUCCCUUUGCCUCCCAGCUGGAGUCCCUGGAUGCCCUAGAGCCUGAGGAGAAGGCUGAGGACUGCUGGGAGCUACAGAUCAGCCCGGAGCUAUUGGCUCAUGGGCGCCAAAAAAUACUGGAUCUGCUGAACGAAGGCUCAGCCCGAGAUCUCCGCAGUCUUCAGCGCAUUGGCCCGAAGAAGGCCCAGCUAAUCGUGGGCUGGCGGGAGCUCCACGGCCCCUUCAGCCAGGUAGCAACCCACUGGACUGGGGGAGGGCGGAGGCGGGGGAGACCGGGUACCCCCAAGACCCUGUCCCCCAUCGAUCCUGUCCCGCCAGGUGGAGGACCUGGAACGCGUGGAGGGCAUAACAGGGAAACAGAUGGAGUCCUUCCUGAAGGUGAAGUCACGGCCCUGCCCCUCCUCUGCCUGUCCUGCGCCCCGCGCCCCUCUCUAACGUCGCUGUCCCCCUCCCUCCUGUGUUGCAGGCAAACAUCCUGGGUCUUGCCGCCGGCCAGCGCUGUGGCCCCUCUUGACCGUUGUCUCCUCACUCUGCCUUUUUAAAUCUUUGUAUAACCCCGU
RNAcentral lists this small RNA (1530 nucleotides) under Pongo abelii (Sumatran orangutan). RNAcentral describes it as "retained intron". The record is from RNAcentral. Lineage: Eukaryota; Metazoa; Chordata; Mammalia; Primates; Hominidae.